Molecule: ribosomal RNA, 274 nt
Filed under: uncultured bacterium
Lineage: Bacteria
Description: partial 16S ribosomal RNA
Rfam family: Bacterial small subunit ribosomal RNA
Source: RNAcentral
AUACGGGGGAUGCAAGCGUUAUUCGGAAUCAUUGGGCGUAAAGGGCACGCAGGCGGUUCUGUCAGUCAGAUGUGAAAGCCCGGGGCUUAACCCCGGACGUGCAUUUGAAACAGCAGGACUUGAGUAUGGUAGAGGAAAGCGGAAUUCCUGGUGUAGAGGUGAAAUUCGUAGAUAUCAGGAGGAACACCGGUGGCGAAGGCGGCUUUCUGGACCAAAACUGACGCUGAGGUGCGAAGGCGUGGGUAGCGAACAGGAUUAGAUACCCGGGUAGUCC